AGUGGAUGGGGAGCAACCUAGUUGUGCGUGUGUAAAGGUAGUGCCAAGAAAAGCGGUGAUCAUGAUGAAAAUCAAUUCCCGGUACCCGAAACCGACACAGGUGGGCAAGUAGAGAAUACUAAGGGGCGCGAGGCAACUCUCUCCAAGGAACUCGGCAAAAUGACCCCGUAACUUAGGGAGAAGGGGUGCCACCGAGAGGUGGUCGCAGUGAAGAGGCCCAGGCGACUGUUUAGCAAAAACAUAGGUCUCUGCAAACUCGAAAGAGGAGGUAUAGGGGCUGACGCCUGCCCAGUGCCGGAAGGUUAAAGAAGUUGGUCAGUCUUAGGAUGAAGCUAGCGACUGAAGCCCCGGUGAACGGCGGCCGUAACUAUAACGGUCCUAAGGUAGCGAAAUUCUUUGGCGGGUAAGUUCCGACACGCACGAAAGGCGUAACGAUCUGGGCGCUGUCUCGGAGAGAGGCUCGGCGAAAUAGGAUUGUCUGUGAAGAUACGGACUACCUGCAUUUGGACAGAAAGACCCUAUGAAGCUUUACUAUAGCUUGGAAUUGUGUUCGGGCUUCCUGUGCGCAGGAUAGGUGGGAGGCGUAGAAGGUAUUCUUGUGGGGAUACUGGAGCCAACGGUGAGGUACCACUCUCAGGAGGCUAGAAUUCUAACUUAAUUAAGGACAGUUUCAGGUGGGUAGUUUGACUGGGGCGGUCGCCUCCAAAAAGGUAACGGAGGCGUACAAAGGUUCCCUCAGACUGGUUGGAAAUCAGUCGAAGAGUGCAAAGGCAGAAGGGAGCUUGACUGCGAGAAGUACAGUUCGAGCAGGGUGGAAACACGGUCUUAGUGAUCCGACGGUGCUGUGUGGAAGGGCCGUCGUUCAACGGAUAAAAGUUACUCUAGGAUAACAGGCUGAUCUCCCCCAAGAGUUCACAUCGACGGGGAGGUUUGGCACCUCGAUGUCGGCUCAUCGCAACCUGGGGCGGAAGUACGUCCCAAGGGUUGGGCUGUUCGCCCAUUAAAGCGGUACGUGAGCUGGGUUCAGAACGUCGUGAGACAGUUCGGUCCAUAUCCGAUGUAGGCGUGAGAAUAUUGAGAGGAGCCUUCCUUAGUACGAGAGGACCGGGAAGGACGCACCGCUGGUGUACCUGUUAUGAUGCCAAUUGUAAACGCAGGGUAGCCAAGUGCGGAGAGGAUAACCGCUGAAAGCAUCUAAGUGGGAAGCCCACCUCAAGAUGAGUAUUCUGGUGUAAGGUCACGGGAAGACGACCCGUAAAUAGGCACGAGGUGGAAGUGCAGAGAUGUAUGAAGCCGAAGUGUACUAAUAGACCGUCGGC
This 1319-nucleotide ribosomal RNA is filed under the name metagenome. Its description in RNAcentral is "bacterial LSU rRNA". It matches the Rfam family "Bacterial large subunit ribosomal RNA", at positions 1561 to 2925 of the family's 2925-position model. The record is from RNAcentral.